Molecule: ribosomal RNA, 1057 nt
Filed under: Phocaeicola vulgatus
Lineage: Bacteria; Pseudomonadati; Bacteroidota; Bacteroidia; Bacteroidales; Bacteroidaceae
Description: bacterial SSU rRNA
Rfam family: Bacterial small subunit ribosomal RNA
Source: RNAcentral
UCCGCAUGUUCACAUGAUUAAAGGUAUUCCGGUAGACGAUGGGGAUGCGUUCCAUUAGAUAGUAGGCGGGGUAACGGCCCACCUAGUCUUCGAUGGAUAGGGGUUCUGAGAGGAAGGUCCCCCACAUUGGAACUGAGACACGGUCCAAACUCCUACGGGAGGCAGCAGUGAGGAAUAUUGGUCAAUGGGCGAGAGCCUGAACCAGCCAAGUAGCGUGAAGGAUGACUGCCCUAUGGGUUGUAAACUUCUUUUAUAAAGGAAUAAAGUCGGGUAUGCAUACCCGUUUGCAUGUACUUUAUGAAUAAGGAUCGGCUAACUCCGUGCCAGCAGCCGCGGUAAUACGGAGGAUCCGAGCGUUAUCCGGAUUUAUUGGGUUUAAAGGGAGCGUAGAUGGAUGUUUAAGUCAGUUGUGAAAGUUUGCGGCUCAACCGUAAAAUUGCAGUUGAUACUGGAUAUCUUGAGUGCAGUUGAGGCAGGCGGAAUUCGUGGUGUAGCGGUGAAAUGCUUAGAUAUCACGAAGAACUCCGAUUGCGAAGGCAGCCUGCUAAGCUGCAACUGACAUUGAGGCUCGAAAGUGUGGGUAUCAAACAGGAUUAGAUACCCUGGUAGUCCACACGGUAAACGAUGAAUACUCGCUGUUUGCGAUAUACGGCAAGCGGCCAAGCGAAAGCGUUAAGUAUUCCACCUGGGGAGUACGCCGGCAACGGUGAAACUCAAAGGAAUUGACGGGGGCCCGCACAAGCGGAGGAACAUGUGGUUUAAUUCGAUGAUACGCGAGGAACCUUACCCGGGCUUAAAUUGCAGAUGAAUUACGGUGAAAGCCGUAAGCCGCAAGGCAUCUGUGAAGGUGCUGCAUGGUUGUCGUCAGCUCGUGCCGUGAGGUGUCGGCUUAAGUGCCAUAACGAGCGCAACCCUUGUUGUCAGUUACUAACAGGUCAUGCUGAGGACUCUGACAAGACUGCCAUCGUAAGAUGUGAGGAAGGUGGGGAUGACGUCAAAUCAGCACGGCCCUUACGUCCGGGGCUACACACGUGUUACAAUGGGGGGUACAGAGGGC